This is a long non-coding RNA of Harpegnathos saltator (Jerdon's jumping ant), 1055 nucleotides long. RefSeq lists it as uncharacterized. The record is from RefSeq and is a predicted model, not a curated record. The transcript has 3 exons. Lineage: Eukaryota; Metazoa; Arthropoda; Insecta; Hymenoptera; Formicidae.
CAAUGCGCAACGUUUUGCGGAGUCUCGCCCCCACCCGGGUGGUGUGUACUAUCAGGCCGGGGUAUCUCUUCGUAAUCCGAGCGAAAUGCAUCGUCCAAAUUGUGCGCUAGGUUUUUCCUCAGUUUCUAAACUUUCUCCUCUCGUCCCUCCCUUUCUCCCUCCGUCCGCCUCUUUUGCAUUUGUGCUCCGAUCCGGAAAAUCAGCACAGUAAGGAUCGCGCGCGAAAAUUGCCAACUCGCUGGACGGAUCACUACGGACGUUUAUCAAUUUCGGAACAUUUACGUUGCGAGCGAAUGUCGAGCCGAGCGCGGUGAGAUGAGCGGCGAACGGAGCGCAGCGAGAGAUGAGGCGAGCUGAACGAACGUACGCAUGCAAUGGACGCAUCCUUGAAAAACGCUGACUUAUUUCGGGCGGUGCGCACGCACGCACGCACGCAUGCAUGCCAGCGGAGGAACGUUCCCGACGACAUAAGCGAUGGAGUGUUAUGCGAAGGGCCUCCGCCCUGGCCCAUUUUACGGCCUUGAAGGAACCCCGGCUUCACCUCGUCAUCAUCGUGACGACGCGAGCCGCUGCGAGCGCGAGGCAAAAAUGUCGGACAUCGGAUAUCAACAUCCGCCGACGAGCCGGAGGGUGUUGAAUCUCUUACGAUCAGAAUAUCUGCUGCAGUAUUGGUCAAGCUUGAACAGCAGACCAUCGAGAAAAAAUAAACAGGCUUUUAGGAUAAAGAUUUCACGUACUUGGGCUCCGAUGAGUAAUGGAACGCACAAAAAAAAAAGAGACAAAGAGAUAAGACGAUGAUACAAAAGCGACGCGCCCGUAGCGCAUAUGACAUUGUGUUUCACGUUCCUCUUCUGUAAAACGCGCCGAUUGUAAAACCAACACACCAUCCGAAGGCAGCUACAUACUUGUAUUAUAAACACCUAGUUAUAAACCACUCGGUUUCUCCCUCGCAGCCCUUUUUACAAAAUUGCCGGAAUAUUUUUUGCGAGUGUGCACGAGAAAAGAUGCUGUUACUUAAAUACUGAUCGACACAUUAAAUUAGAGUGUAAAAUAUU